Molecule: transfer RNA, 62 nt
Filed under: Meretrix lyrata
Lineage: Eukaryota; Metazoa; Mollusca; Bivalvia; Venerida; Veneridae
Description: tRNA-Asp
Source: RNAcentral
UCGAAAGUAGUUUAAUAAAAAUGUUAAAUUGUCAGUUUAAAGAUGUCUAAGGAUUUUUCGAU